AGAGUUUGAUCCUGGCUCAGAGCGAACGNNNNNCGGCAGUAACACAUGCAAGUCGAGCGGGCCCUUCGGGGUCAGCGGCAGACGGGUGAGUAACGCGUGGGAACGUGCCCUUUGGUCUGGGAUAACUCAGGGAAACUUGAGCUAAUACUGGAUACGCCCUUUAUGGGGAAAGGUUUACUGCCGAAGGAUCGGCCCGCGUCUGAUUAGCUAGUUGGUGGGGUAACGGCCUACCAAGGCGACGAUCAGUAGCUGGUCUGAGAGGAUGAUCAGCCACACUGGGACUGAGACACGGCCCAGACUCCUACGGGAGGCAGCAGUGGGGAAUAUUGGACAAUGGGCGCAAGCCUGAUCCAGCCAUGCCGCGUGAGUGAUGAAGGCCUUAGGGUUGUAAAGCUCUUUCGUCCGGGACGAUAAUGACGGUACCGGAAGAAGAAGCCCCGGCUACUUCGUGCCAGCAGCCGCGGUAAUACGAAGGGGGCUACGUUGCUCGGAAUCACUGGGCGUAAAGGGCGCGUAGGCGGACUUUUAAGUCGGGGGUGAAACCUGUGGCUCAACCACAGAAUUGCCUUCGAUACUGGGAGUCUUGAGUAUGGUAGAGGUUGGUGGAACUGCGAGUGUAGAGGUGAAAUUCGUAGAUAUUCGCAAGAACACCGGUGGCGAAGGCGGCUCGCUGGGCCAUACCUGACGCUGAGCGCGAAAGCGUGGGGAGCAAACAGGAUUAGAUACCCUAGUAGUCC
RNAcentral lists this ribosomal RNA (737 nucleotides) under uncultured bacterium. Its description in RNAcentral is "bacterial SSU rRNA". It matches the Rfam family "Bacterial small subunit ribosomal RNA", at positions 8 to 796 of the family's 1533-position model. The record is from RNAcentral.